UACGGAGGAUGCGAGCGUUAUCCGGAUUUAUUGGGUUUAAAGGGUGCGUAGGCGGACUGUCAAGUCAGCGGUAAAAUUGAGAGGCUCAACCUCUUCCCGCCGUUGAAACUGGUGGUCUUGAGUGGAUGAGAAGUACGCGGAAUGCGUGGUGUAGCGGUGAAAUGCAUAGAUAUCACGCAGAACUCCGAUUGCGAAGGCAGCGUACCGGCAUCCAACUGACGCUGAGGCACGAAAGCGUGGGGAACAAACAGG
This 252-nucleotide ribosomal RNA is filed under the name uncultured bacterium. Its description in RNAcentral is "partial 16S ribosomal RNA". It matches the Rfam family "Bacterial small subunit ribosomal RNA", at positions 524 to 776 of the family's 1533-position model. The record is from RNAcentral.